Molecule: ribosomal RNA, 697 nt
Filed under: Circinella muscae
Lineage: Eukaryota; Fungi; Mucoromycota; Mucoromycetes; Mucorales; Lichtheimiaceae
Description: eukaryotic LSU rRNA
Rfam family: Eukaryotic large subunit ribosomal RNA
Source: RNAcentral
UUGCAUUAUUCAAAAAGCGGAGGAAAAGAAAAUAACAAUGAUUCCCUCAGUAACGGCGAGUGAACAGGGAAAAGCUCACAGUUGGAACCUAGCUGCCUUAGGUAGUUCGGAUUGUAAACUGAAAAAGUGUUAUCCAGGCUAGCCGAGUAAAUAAGUUUCUUGGAAUAGAACAUCAUGGAGGGUGAGAAUCCCGUCUUUGGCUUGAGCAUAGUCUUUUGUGUUGCACUUUAACGAGUCAGGUUGUUUGGGAAUGCAGCCUAAAGUGGGAGGUAAAUCCCUCCUAAAGCUAAAUAUUGGCGAGAGACCGAUAGCAAACAAGUACCGUGAGGGAAAGAUGAAAAGAACUUUGAAAAGAGAGUUAAACAGUAUGUGAAAUUGCUAAAAGGGAAGCGUUUGAAGACAGACUAGCUUGGUUAUAAUCAGCCUGGAUUUUUCUUGGUGUACUUGUAGCCUAUGCUUGCCAACAGCAGUUUGGUCUGGCUGAAAAAACUAGUAGUAAGGUGGCUCUCUUCGGGGAGUGUUAUAGACUAUUAGAAAAUCAGUUGGACUGGACUGAGGAAUGCAAUGCAGCUUGCCUUGGGGUGAACCAGAUUGGAUAGGAACCAUUGUUCCUUGAAGGUUUGGGUAGCUCUUCGAACUGUAUUUAGGUUGUUGGCUUAAUGUCUUUAAACGGCCCGUCUUGACACCCCGCAAAACA